RNAcentral lists this ribosomal RNA (445 nucleotides) under uncultured bacterium. Its description in RNAcentral is "bacterial SSU rRNA". It matches the Rfam family "Bacterial small subunit ribosomal RNA", at positions 337 to 796 of the family's 1533-position model. The record is from RNAcentral.
GCCUACGGGACGCAGCAGUAAGGAAUUUUCCGCAAUGGGCGAAAGCCUGACGGAGCAAUACCGCGUGAGGGAUGACGGCCUAUGGGUUGUAAACCUCUUUUUUCAGGGAGGAAUCAAUGACGUGUACCUGAAGAAUAAGCAUCGGCUAACUCCGUGCCAGCAGCCGCGGUAAGACGGAGGAUGCAAGUGUUAUCCGGAAUCACUGGGCGUAAAGCGUCUGUAGGUGGUUUAAUAAGUCAACUGUUAAAUCUUGAGGCUUAACCUCGAAAUCGCAGUCGAAACUAUUAGACUAGAGUAUAGUAGGGGUAAAGGGAAUUUCCAGUGGAGCGGUGAAAUGCGUAGAUAUUGGAAAGAACACCAAUGGCGAAGGCACUUUACUGGGCUAUUACUAACACUGAGAGACGAAAGCUAGGGUAGCAAAUGGGAUUAGAAACCCCUGUAGUCC